Molecule: long non-coding RNA, 950 nt
Organism: Lycium barbarum (goji berry)
Lineage: Eukaryota; Viridiplantae; Streptophyta; Magnoliopsida; Solanales; Solanaceae
Exons: 5
Source: RefSeq, a predicted model, not a curated record
GACGGGAAUGAAAUGAUGCCCAACUUGCGAAGAACACCAAAAUGUGAUGGUCCAAAUAAUGAUUUGGUAAACAAAUCGGCUAAUUGAUCUCGCGAAGGAACGAAUGAAAAAGAGAUUAAGCUAGCCAAGUACUGUUCUUGAACAAAAUGGAAAUCAAGCUCCACAUGUUUUGUCCGCUCAUGAAAGACGAGGUUACAAGCAAUAUGAAUUGCAGUUUGACUGUCAGAAUCGAUUGAAACUGGAAGAGAUGGAGAUAUGGAGAGAUCUGCUAGCAAUCGCGUGAGCCAAGAAAUGGGGGAACCGCCUAAACUGAUGAAAAAACCAUUGACUGAUCUUCGAGUGUCUUUGCAUGAAUCCCAAUCAGCAUCUCAAAAAGCAAUCAAAGAGAAUAAAAGAUUAGAACACAUAAACAGACCUUGUCCAGGAUGUUUUCUCAGGUGAUUUACAAGUCCAAGGAGGUGAUAGCAACAUUGGUAGUGAAUUGAGGAAGAAGAAAUAGCGAAAGUGGAGCAAAUAAGUGUAUAAUUUCCUCCGAUUAAAUUAAGGCUAAAGGGGAGACGAAGCGAACGAGAUUACGAAUAACCUUCAGCAGGUACUGAUAGUCGGUUUGGCGACCCUUCAACAUAGGACUUCUACUCAGCUGUUUUGGAGAGCUCCGUUGUUCCGGAGGCUAGACCUUUGGUUCAGAUCUUAUGAUGUUUAUGUAUAUGUUUAUCCAGGGGUACGGCGGGGCCCUGUCCCGUCAUAUUUCUCUAUCGAUACUCUUAGAGGUCUGUAAACAUAUAUGUGGGUUGUGUAUAAGUUCUGUUCAGCUGUGGCUAAACGUUGUGCCAUGUAUACGUUCGUCUGUAAUGGCAGCCUUGUCGGCUUGCAUAUGACAUGAUAGUGAUGUGUAGUGGCAGCCUUGUCGGCUUGCAUAUCAUUUUAUGAUCUGAUUAGUUGUGACUCCU